This 425-nucleotide ribosomal RNA is filed under the name uncultured bacterium. Its description in RNAcentral is "partial 16S ribosomal RNA". It matches the Rfam family "Bacterial small subunit ribosomal RNA", at positions 354 to 796 of the family's 1533-position model. The record is from RNAcentral.
GUUAGGAAUAUUGGACAAUGGGCGCAAGCCUGAUCCAGCCAUGCCGCAUGAACGAUGAAGGCCUUCGGGUUGUAAAGUUCUUUAGCCGAUGAUUAUAAUGACUGUAGUCGGAAAAUAAGCCCCGGCUAACUUCGUGCCAGCAGCCGCGGUAAUACGAAGGGGGCGAGCGUUAUUCGGAAUCACUGGGCGUAAAGCGUGCGUAGGCGGUCUCGUAAGUUAGGAGUGAAAGCCCAGGGCUCAACCUUGGAAUUGCUCUUAAAACUGCAAGGCUAGAAUCUCGGAGAGGAUAGCGGAAUUUCCAGUGUAGCAGUGAAAUGCGUAGAUAUUGGAAGGAACACCAGUGGCGUAAGCGGCUAUCUGGACGAGUAUUGACGCUGAGGCACGAAAGCGUGGGGAUCAAACAGGAUUAGAAACCCCUGUAGUCC